UACGAAGGGGGCUAGCGUUGCUCGGAAUCACUGGGCGUAAAGCGCACGUAGGCGGGUCUUUAAGUCAGGGGUGAAAUCCUGGAGCUCAACUCCAGAACUGCCUUUGAUACUGAGGAUCUCGAGUCCGGGAGAGGUGAGUGGAACUCCGAGUGUAGAGGUGAAAUUCGUAGAUAUUCGGAAGAACACCAGUGGCGAAGGCGGCUCACUGGCCCGGUACUGACGCUGAGGCGCGAAAGCGUGGGGAGCAAACAGG
Molecule: ribosomal RNA, 253 nt
Filed under: uncultured bacterium
Lineage: Bacteria
Description: partial 16S ribosomal RNA
Rfam family: Bacterial small subunit ribosomal RNA
Source: RNAcentral